Xyrauchen texanus (razorback sucker) is the source of this 686-nucleotide long non-coding RNA. RefSeq lists it as uncharacterized. The record is from RefSeq and is a predicted model, not a curated record. NCBI's taxonomy places the organism in Eukaryota, Metazoa, Chordata, Actinopteri, Cypriniformes, Catostomidae. The transcript is spliced from 3 exons.
GGGAUUGUCCCUGUAAUAAGUGCACUGUAUAAUACAUUGGUAAUCAGAAGGUUGCUGGUUUGAUCACCACAGUCACCACCAUUGUGUCCUUGAGUAAGACACUUAACUCCAUGUUGCUCCGGGGGGAUUGUCCCUGUAAUAAGUGCUCUGUAUAAUACAUUGGUACUCAGAAGGUUGCUGGUUCGAUCCCCACAAUCACCACCAUUGUGUCCUUGAGUAAGACACUUAACUCCAGGUUGCUCCGGGGGGAUUGUCCCUGUAAUAAGUGCUCUGUAUAAUACAUUGGUACUCAGAAGGUUGCUGGUUUGAUCCCCACAGUCACCACCAUUGUGUCCUUGAGUAAGACACUUAACUCCAGGUUGCUCCGGGGGGAUUGUCCCUGUAAUAAGUGCACUGUAUAAUACAUUGGUACUCAGAAGGUUGCUGGUUCGAUCCCCACAGUCACCACCAUUGUGUCCUUGAGUAAGACACUUAACUCCAGGUUGCUCCGGGGGGAUUGUCCCUGUAAUAAGUGCACUGUAUAAUACAUUGGUACUCAGAAGGUUGCUGGUUCGAUCCCCACAGUCACCACCAUUGUGUCCUUGAGUAAGACACUUAACUCCAGGUUGCUCCGGGGGGAUUGUCCCUGUAAUAAGUGCACUGUAUAAUACAUUGGUACUCAGAAGGUUGCUGGUUCGAUCCCCACA